Molecule: ribosomal RNA, 1545 nt
Filed under: Salmonella enterica subsp. enterica serovar Kentucky
Lineage: Bacteria; Pseudomonadati; Pseudomonadota; Gammaproteobacteria; Enterobacterales; Enterobacteriaceae
Description: partial 23S ribosomal RNA
Rfam family: Bacterial large subunit ribosomal RNA
Source: RNAcentral
CGAUUUCCUGAGUAGCGGCGAGCGAAACGGAAAAUAGCCCAAACCAAGAGGCUUGCCUCUUGGGGUUGUAGGACACUCUAUACGGAGUUACAAAGGAACGAAGUAAGUGAAGCGACCUGGAAAGGUCCGUCAGAGAAGGUAAAAACCCUGUAGCUGAAACUUCGUUCCCUCCAGAGUGGAUCCUGAGUACGGCGGGACACGAGAAAUCCCGUCGGAAGCUGGGAGGACCAUCUCCCAAGGCUAAAUACUCCCUAGUGACCGAUAGUGAACCAGUACCGUGAGGGAAAGGUGAAAAGCACCCCGGAAGGGGAGUGAAAGAGAACCUGAAACCGUGUGCCUACAAGUAGUCAGAGCCCGUUUAUGGGUAAUGGCGUGCCUUUUGUAGAAUGAACCGGCGAGUUACGAUUUCAUGCAAGGUUAAGUUGAUGAGACGGAGCCGCAGCGAAAGCGAGUCUGAAUAGGGCGUUUUGAGUAUGAGGUCGUAGACCCGAAACCAGGUGAUCUACCCAUGUCCAGGGUGAAGUUCAGGUAACACUGAAUGGAGGCCCGAACCCACGCACGUUGAAAAGUGCGGGGAUGAGGUGUGGGUAGCGGAGAAAUUCCAAUCGAACCUGGAGAUAGCUGGUUCUCUCCGAAAUAGCUUUAGGGCUAGCCUCGAGUUUGAGAGUAUUGGAGGUAGAGCACUGAUUGGACUAGGGGCCCCUAUCGGGUUACCGAAUUCAGUCAAACUCCGAAUGCCAAAUACUUAUACUCGGGAGUCAGACUGCGAGUGAUAAGAUCCGUAGUCAAAAGGGAAACAGCCCAGACCACCAGCUAAGGUCCCCAAGUUUAUGUUAAGUGGAAAAGGAUGUGGGGUUGCUUAGACAACCAGGAUGUUGGCUUAGAAGCAGCCACCAUUUAAAGAGUGCGUAAUAGCUCACUGGUCGAGUGACCCCGCGCCGAAAAUGUACCGGGGCUAAACAUAACACCGAAGCUGUGGAUGGACAUCUCAGAUGUCCGUGGUAGGAGAGCGUUCUAAGGGCGUUGAAGUCAGACCGGAAGGACUGGUGGAGCGCUUAGAAGUGAGAAUGCCGGUAUGAGUAGCGAAAGAAGGGUGAGAAUCCCUUCCACCGAAUGCCUAAGGUUUCCUGAGGAAGGCUCGUCCGCUCAGGGUUAGUCGGGACCUAAGCCGAGGCCGAAAGGCGUAGGCGAUGGAUAACAGGUUGAUAUUCCUGUACCACCAAGCAUCGUUUGAAUGAUGGGGGGACGCAGGAGGAUAGGGUAAGCGCGCUGUUGGAUAUGCGCGUCCAAGCAGUUAGGCUGGAAACGAGGCAAAUCCCGUUUCCGUGAAGGCUGAGCUGUGAUGGCGAGGGAAAUAUAGUACCGAAGUUCCUGAUUCCACACUGCCAAGAAAAGCCUCUAGUGAGAUGUAAGGUGCCCGUACCGCAAACCGACACAGGUAGGCGAGGAGAGAAUCCUAAGGUGUGCGAGAGAACUCUCGUUAAGGAACUCGGCAAAAUGACCCCGUAACUUCGGGAGAAGGGGUGCUUUUUAGGGUGAAUAGCC